RNAcentral lists this ribosomal RNA (989 nucleotides) under uncultured Prevotellaceae bacterium. RNAcentral's name for it is "bacterial SSU rRNA". It matches the Rfam family "Bacterial small subunit ribosomal RNA", at positions 8 to 986 of the family's 1533-position model. Lineage: Bacteria; Pseudomonadati; Bacteroidota; Bacteroidia; Bacteroidales; Prevotellaceae. The record is from RNAcentral.
AGAGUUUGAUCCUGGCUCAGGAUGAACGCUAGCUACAGGCUUAACACAUGCAAGUCGAGGGGAAACGACAUUGAAAGCUUGCUUUUAAUGGGCGUCGACCGGCGCACGGGUGCGUAACGCGUAUCGAACCUGCCCUUUACUCAGGGAUAGCCUUGCGAAAGUAAGAUUAAUACCUGAUGGUGUUGUGGAAAGACAUCUUUUUGCAACUAAAGAUUUAUUGGUAAAGGAUGGCGAUGCGUCUGAUUAGGUAGUAGGUGGGGUAACGGCUCACCUAGCCGACGAUCAGUAGGGGUUCUGAGAGGAAGGUCCCCCACAUUGGAACUGAGACACGGUCCAAACUCCUACGGGAGGCAGCAGUGAGGAAUAUUGGUCAAUGGGCGAGAGCCUGAACCAGCCAAGUAGCGUGCAGGAAGACGGCCCUCUGGGUUGUAAGCUGCUUUUAGUUGGGAACAAAAAAGGCGACGCGUCGCCUCUGGAGUGUACCAUCAGAAAAAGGACCGGCUAAUUCCGUGCCAGCAGCCGCGGUAAUACGGAAGGUCCGGGCGUUAUCCGGAUUUAUUGGGUUUAAAGGGAGCGUAGGCGGACGAUUAAGUCAGCUGUGAAAGUUUGCGGCUCAACCGUAAAAUUGCAGUUGAAACUGGUUGUCUUGAGUGCACGCAGGGAUGUUGGAAUUCAUGGUGUAGCGGUGAAAUGCUUAGAUAUUAUGAAGAACUCCGAUCGCGCAGGCAUAUGUCCGGAGUGCAACUGACGCUGAGGCUCGAAAGUGCGGGUAUCGAACAGGAUUAGAUACCCUGGUAGUCCGCACGGUAAACGAUGGAUGCCCGCUGUCGGCGCCUUGCGCCGGCGGCCAAGCGAAAGCGUUAAGCAUCCCACCUGGGGGAGUACGCCGGCAAACGGUGAAACUCAAAGGAAUUGACGGGGGCCCGCACAAGCGGAGGAACAUGUGGUUUAAUUCGAUGAUACCCGAGGAACCUUACCCGGGCUUUGAA